RNAcentral lists this ribosomal RNA (492 nucleotides) under uncultured bacterium. RNAcentral describes it as "partial 16S ribosomal RNA". It matches the Rfam family "Bacterial small subunit ribosomal RNA", at positions 29 to 507 of the family's 1533-position model. The record is from RNAcentral.
AGUGAACGCUGGCGGUAGGCCUAACACAUGCAAGUCGAACGGCAGCACAGUAAGAGCUUGCUCUUACGGGUGGCGAGUGGCGGACGGGUGAGGAAUACAUCGGAAUCUACUUUUUCGUGGGGGAUAACGUAGGGAAACUUACGCUAAUACCGCAUACGACCUACGGGUGACAGCAGGGGAUCUUCGGACCUUGCGCGAUUGAAUGAGCCGAUGUCGGAUUAGCUAGUUGGCGGGGUAAAGGCCCACCAAGGCGACGAUCCGUAGCUGGUCUGAGAGGAUGAGCAGCCACACUGGAACUGAGACACGGUACAGACUCCUACGGGAGGCAGCAGUGGGGAAUAUUGGACAAUGGGCGCAAGCCUGAUCCAGCCAUACCGCGUGGGUGAAGAAGGUCUUCGGGUUGUAAAGCCCUUUUGUUGGGAAAGAAAAGCAGCAGGUUAAUACCCCGCUGUUCUGACGGUACCCAAAGAAUAAGCACCGGCUAACUUCGUG